GACGAACGCUGGCGGCGUGCCUAAUACAUGCAAGUCGAGCGAGCUUGCCUAGAUGAAUUUGGUGCUUGCACCAAAUGAAACUAGAUACAAGCGAGCGGCGGACGGGUGAGUAACACGUGGGUAACCUGCCCAAGAGACUGGGAUAACACCUGGAAACAGAUGCUAAUACCGGAUAACAACACUAGACGCAUGUCUAGAGUUUAAAAGAUGGUUCUGCUAUCACUCUUGGAUGGACCUGCGGUGCAUUAGCUAGUUGGUAAGGUAACGGCUUACCAAGGCAAUGAUGCAUAGCCGAGUUGAGAGACUGAUCGGCCACAUUGGGACUGAGACACGGCCCAAACUCCUACGGGAGGCAGCAGUAGGGAAUCUUCCACAAUGGACGCAAGUCUGAUGGAGCAACGCCGCGUGAGUGAAGAAGGGUUUCGGCUCGUAAAGCUCUGUUGGUAGUGAAGAAAGAUAGAGGUAGUAACUGGCCUUUAUUUGACGGUAAUUACUUAGAAAGUCACGGCUAACUACGUGCCAGCAGCCGCGGUAAUACGUAGGUGGCAAGCGUUGUCCGGAUUUAUUGGGCGUAAAGCGAGUGCAGGCGGUUCAAUAAGUCUGAUGUGAAAGCCUUCGGCUUAACCGGAGAAUUGCAUCAGAAACUGUUGAACUUGAGUGCAGAAGAGGAGAGUGGAACUCCAUGUGUAGCGGUGGAAUGCGUAGAUAUAUGGAAGAACACCAGUGGCGAAAGCGGCUCUCUGGUCUGCAACUGACGCUGAGGCUCGAAAGCAUGGGUAGCGAACAGG
Molecule: ribosomal RNA, 788 nt
Filed under: uncultured Lactobacillus sp.
Lineage: Bacteria; Bacillati; Bacillota; Bacilli; Lactobacillales; Lactobacillaceae
Description: bacterial SSU rRNA
Rfam family: Bacterial small subunit ribosomal RNA
Source: RNAcentral